Molecule: ribosomal RNA, 789 nt
Filed under: Cyphellophora sessilis
Lineage: Eukaryota; Fungi; Ascomycota; Eurotiomycetes; Chaetothyriales; Cyphellophoraceae
Description: eukaryotic LSU rRNA
Rfam family: Eukaryotic large subunit ribosomal RNA
Source: RNAcentral
UUGAAAUCUGGCCUCUUUGGGGUCCGAGUUGUAAUUUGGAGAGGAUGUUUCGGGUACGGUCCGGGCUUAAAUUUCUUGGAACAGAAUGUCACAGAGGGUGAGAAUCCCGUCUGGAGUCUGCGACACGGCCUAUGUGAAACUCCUUCGACGAGUCGAGUUGUUUGGGAAUGCAGCUCUAAAUGGGUGGUAAAUUUCAUCUAAAGCUAAAUAUUGGCCAGAGACCGAUAGCGCACAAGUAGAGUGAUCGAAAGAUGAAAAGCACUUUGAAAAGAGAGUUAAACAGUACGUGAAAUUGUUGAAAGGGAAGCGCUGGCAACCAGACUUGCGCGUCGGGGUUCCCCCUGGCUUCUGCCUGGGCUACUCCCCGGCGCUCAGGCCAACAUCGGUUUUGGGGGUCGGUUAAAGGCCCCGGGAAUGUACCUACCCUUCGGGGUAGACUUAUAGCCCGGKGUGUCAUGCGGCCACCCGGGACCGAGGAACGCGCUUCGGCUCGGAUGUUGGCGUAAUGGUUGUCAGCGACCCGUCUUGAAACACGGACCAAGGAGUCUAACAUCUAUGCGAGUGUUAGGGUGUCAAACCCUUACGCGGAAUGAAAGUGAACGGAGGUAGGAAGCCGUAACACGCUGCACUAUCGACCGAUCCUGAAGUUUACGGAUGGAUUUGAGUAAGAGCAUAGCUGUUGGGACCCGAAAGAUGGUGAACUAUGCCUGAAUAGGGUGAAGCCAGAGGAAACUCUGGUGGAGGCUCGCAGCGGUUCUGACGUGCAAAUCGAUCGUCAAAUUUGGGUAU